GCAACUGGUUUCAUCCAAAUCCAACAUCUAAGUAAGGAGUUAUACCCGUUUUACUUCAACCUGUCAGUUUGUCAACUGAGGGGCAGUUUCUACUUUGUUUUCUUAGGGGCAUUUUAGUCAUUUCACCUCACCCAAAUUUCGUCUAGACACCAGAUUUAGCCCCCAAUUCAUCAAAAUAUAAUCCUUUUCUCAAAUUUUCUCUCAAGAACACCCCUUAGGGUUUCAAAUAAAAAUUCCAAAUAACUCAAGAUUCAACCGUGGGUUUUGGAAGAUAAUUAGAGAUUUGGAAUCCCCACAUCGUAGACUUCGAGGAUCAUCCCUCAAUUUCUUAAAUAGAGGUACGCGGGGUUUUCCUAAAUUCUCAUGGGUAUAGAAAUCAUGUUUUAAGAAAGGGGUUUUUAAAUUCAAGUACAUAUUCAUGUUUUAGAAGCUUUAUAUGAUAUUGUUUUAGUCUUUUGGCUUUCCCCCGAAGUGACUUAAAAAUUAUAUGUAUAUAUAUAUAUAUGUGUUUUGCCUUGAAAUAUGAAUUGAGAGCACAAUUUACAUGAAAUUCCUCUCUUGAUGUAAUUUUCCCAUGUUUCACAUGAUAUAGAUUGUUUUGAAAUAAGUUUUGAAAAAUCAUGAUAUGAAAUGCUUUGACUUUGCUAUGUUUCGAAUACGAUUUUGAACAUGAAAGGGAGGGUUGUAAAUGUUGAAUAUACAUAUAAUGAAAGAGUGCAUAAUUUUGCCAAAAGCACAUGACCACCAUAUGUUUGAUGAAAGUUUUUGCAUGGUUUUGACUUGAGUUUUGGAACAUGAAAUCUUUUAUGCAAAUUACAUGUUUGGGUGGUCUGAAACUACACUUUUGUGAAAGAUCAUGCUUAAUGCAUUAUGGCUCAGAAAUAGGACUUGCAAAUCUUGGUACGACGAUACCAACUCAGACAAAUGCUAUAACAGACACAGACUAGUUCAGAAAUCAGAUUUUAUCAGACUUUCAUGAUUAAGAAAUUUCAGAAUGAUACAUGUUCAGAAAAGGUUAAAAAUUGGGCAUAAAGAGGUGUUAGGUGGUCCCCGAACAAGGCGUGAGUUCAAACAACUCAUUGCCCAAAACCGUGAUUUGCCGAUCCGAGUAUAUUAUUAUACGCUGGCUCAAGUGUCGUGUGGCGUAUCAGACUCAGAUACUCCAACCCUUGCGGCACACUUGGGUUGGGGGCUUCCCCGUCGAGUCAAUGGCGGAUUUCAUAUAGCCCAUGGAAUAUCAGACUUGUAGGGGAGUGCCACCUAACUCAGAAGUAAUACAAAGAUCAGAAAUUGUUUUGACAAGAAUGUGUUAUGAUUUUUGAAUAAUGCCCAUGUGUUUUCAGAAGCUAUUUUAUACGUGAUGUGUUGAUGAAAAUUGCUCUCAUCUAUUAUAUAUAUGUUCAAAUACUUUAUUUUGGAUUGCUUCGCGUGCUAGUACAUUUAUGCUGACCCCCCUCCUUCCAGGUUUUGAGACACAGUCUAGGGGUCCAGAUAAACAGUAGAUAUUUCAGAUCGCAGAGCAGAUUGUGCAGGGGUGAGCCUUCUAUAUUCCAGAAGGCCUAUUUACUUUCAGAUAUUUAUCUUUAGUCAUGUUUUGGUCUACUGGGGACCUUGUCCCAUUUUUCAGACAGUUUUAUUUAGUUCAUAGUAAAGAUUUCGCAGACUAAGUCAGACAUUAUUAUUAUCCAGAUAUAUUUUGGAUUUCAAUUUUUCAGUAUUAUGAUCACGUUCAAACUGAUCAUGUUUCCGUAUUAGAUUUCUAUUUCCGCAUUAUCUUUUAUUAUAUGAAUAUUGUGCAUGAUUACCAAAUAGACAGAGGGCGUCCCGGGCCUUCACGGUUCGGAAAUGCUCGUCACGGCCAGGGCCCCGGUUCGGGUCGUGACACAAAUUCUUAUCACCCGGAUCACCACCUUGUUAAGAAUCUGACUUAGAGAACUUCUUGGAUGACGACAAAGCAAAUACAUGGAUGCCUCUGCAGAACAGGCUGCUGUAAAGCUCCACACAGAGUGUGAGAUUCCACCCUCUCAAAAUCUUAGCUAUGUCGAUAAGGAAUCACAAAAGAGACAAUGAAGAUGGAGAAUUUGAUAUCAACUGUUGUGUUACCAUAAUGUUGAAAUGAAUCAGUCGAAACUUUCUACAGUUUGCUCAGACAUCUUGUGUAAACAGCCACGUGCUGACUACACAAUGACUUGUCGAAGCAAGCAAGUAAAUUGUUCAUUCACUAUACAAACAACAACAACAUAUCCAGUGAAAACGCACAAAUGGAGUAUGGGGAAGGUGGAGUGUAAGCAGACCUUACCACUACCUCGGGGAGGUAGAGAGGCUGUUCCGGAGGACAAAUUUUCAUUCACUAUAGUAUCCAUCUUUUGUCUCUACACGUAUAUUAUGCUUUAGGCAAUAGCCAACUCCUGCAAACGGAUAGCUACGCUUUGAGGUGUGAACAUUUGAAGCAGAAAAAGACAUCAUCUCUCCGUACAGAAGUCGCUAAUGUGCUUCAGAAGGUGUUAGCUACAGUAUCGUUUGUGUUUUAUCCGCUGAGUUGAGCUUAAUUGUCUCCUUUCGUGGUACUUUCAUUUCUAUAUUCCCAGAUUACUUGGUUUUUCAGAUCCCGGUGUCUCUUAGCAUACAACACUGAUUAGCGAGUUGUUCAUGCAGACAACAACUUUCCAGCUGACUAAUGAUUUUCUCAUCGUUAACCAUCCAGGCACUUCAAUCUGAUGAACUUUGUUCAAAAAUGACCUUCCGAAACAUAGCAGAAUGGUUCAUUUUUUUCCUCAAUAGUCAUCUAACUUUGAUUUUGACAAAAGAUCCCAACUUUUCUAACUAUAUAUAAAUAAAUAGAGACUGGAAUAUGGAUGCAUAAAUUACUCGCCUCUAUCUAUGGAGCUAUUGAGGAAUACACAUGAGCUUACAACAAGAUAUUC
This 2924-nucleotide long non-coding RNA is filed under the name Capsicum annuum. RNAcentral describes it as "long non-coding RNA (CANN_LNC018389)". The record is from RNAcentral. Lineage: Eukaryota; Viridiplantae; Streptophyta; Magnoliopsida; Solanales; Solanaceae.